GUGUUUCCUGAUCAGCUGGAUCAUCUUCGGUAUCGCACUUCGGAUCUGGUGGCUUUCCUCCGCUGAAACGCC
Molecule: transfer RNA, 72 nt
Filed under: Roseibium aggregatum IAM 12614
Lineage: Bacteria; Pseudomonadati; Pseudomonadota; Alphaproteobacteria; Hyphomicrobiales; Stappiaceae
Description: Labrenzia aggregata IAM 12614 tRNA-Ala
Source: RNAcentral